UUCAGUAGCUGUGGCACACAGGCUUAAUGGCCCCAUGAUAUCUGGAAUCUUCCUGAAUCAGGGAUGGAUCCUGUGGUCCCCCGCACUGGCAGUUCCCUUACAUCCUUCAUUGCAUAAAGAAGAGUUUUUUAACAGGCCUGUUUCACUUCCAAGAAUCCACUCCGUGAUGGAAACAGUGGGGGUUCAGAAGAUCCAAUGCUGGGAGAGACUCCGAGGGAAAUUCAAGGUUUGGUGCUUGGAAAGUCACAGACCUUCAUGGCACAGGGAUUCAGAGAUCGUUCCUUGCUUCCAGCUAGAAUGCAAGCUCAAGAGGAAUUUUAUCUUGCUCAUCAGUCUAUCCCAAAACCUAGAAAGGCGUCUGCCCCAAAAGAAGUGCUCAACAAGUGUUUGUAGAAUGAAUAAACAAUUGCCUUCAGCUAUCAAUUCAUACUUUUGAGACAGGGUGGGACCUGGGACCCAUUACUGAGGUGCUUGCACCUGGACGAACGUCUCCUCAAGAAACAAAAUACAAAGAAACUAUAACGUAUUAAAAUAAUUGCAUGUGUGCCCAUUUGGG
This is a long non-coding RNA of Bubalus bubalis (water buffalo), 556 nucleotides long. RefSeq lists it as uncharacterized. The record is from RefSeq and is a predicted model, not a curated record. The transcript is spliced from 3 exons. Lineage: Eukaryota; Metazoa; Chordata; Mammalia; Artiodactyla; Bovidae.